GAUGAACGCUGGCGGCGUGCUUAACACAUGCAAGUCGAACGAGAAGUGAAGACGGAAACCUUCUGGCGGAAGGCUUUAUUUCUAGUGGCGGACUGGUUAGUAACGCGUGGGUAACCUGCCUCAUACAGGGGGAUAACAGUUGGAAACGACUGUUAAUACCGCAUAAGACCACAGCACCGCAUGGUGCGGGGGUAAAAACUCCGGUGGUAUGAGAUGGACCCGCGUUCGAUUAGCCAGUUGGCGGGGUAACGGCCCACCAAAGCGACGAUCGAUAGCCGAUCUGAGAGGAUGACCGGCCACAUUGGGAAUGAGACACGGCCCAAACUCCUACGGGAGGCAGCAGUGGGGAAUAUUGCACAAUGGGGGAAACCCUGAUGCAGCGACGCCGCGUGAGUGAAGAAGUAUUUCGGUAUGUAAAGCUCUAUCAGCAGGGAAGAAAAUGACGGUACCUGAGUAAGAAGCCCCGGCUAACUACGUG
Molecule: ribosomal RNA, 478 nt
Filed under: uncultured bacterium
Lineage: Bacteria
Description: partial 16S ribosomal RNA
Rfam family: Bacterial small subunit ribosomal RNA
Source: RNAcentral